GAUGAAGAACGUAGCGAAAUGCGAUAAGUAAUGUGAAUUGCAGAAUUCAGUGAAUCAUCGAAUCUUUGAACGCACAUUGCGCCCCCCGGCAUUCCGGGGGGCAUGCCUGUUCGAGCGUCUCCAGGACAAGUCCUCGCGCGAGUGAACGCGCGGUCGUGGCGGAGGUGGCGUGCCCGAGCAGGGCGGCCACCGCGCUGGAAUCCAUGGGCGGACGCCUGCCGCGUGGCCGAGCGUGAUAUGACGCAUUGGCGCUCGUGCGCGGCGAGGCUGCCAGCCCUGGCCCGUCUGUCGGGCGGGGUAGAUCACCACGUGGGAACUCCUCGAAUCAGGUAGGGAUACCCGCUGAACUUAAGCAUAUCAAUAAGCGGAGGA
This 372-nucleotide unclassified non-coding RNA is filed under the name soil metagenome. Its description in RNAcentral is "partial contains 5.8S ribosomal RNA, internal transcribed spacer 2, and large subunit ribosomal RNA". The stretch from base 1 to 120 matches the Rfam family "5.8S ribosomal RNA", at positions 35 to 154 of the family's 154-position model. The record is from RNAcentral.